UACGGGGGGUGCGAGCGUUAAUCGGAAUAACUGGGCGUAAAGGGCCCGCAGGCGGACUUUUAAGUGAGGUGUGAAAUCCCCGGGCUUAACCAGGGAAUUGCAUUGCAUACUGGGAGUCUAGAGUACUUUAGGGAGGGGUAGAAUUCCACGUGUAGCGGUGAAAUGCGUAGAGAUGUGGAGGAAUACCGAAGGCGAAGGCAGCCCCUUGGGAAUGUACUGACGCUCAGGUGCGAAAGCGUGGGGAGCAAAUGGG
RNAcentral lists this ribosomal RNA (253 nucleotides) under uncultured bacterium. RNAcentral describes it as "partial 16S ribosomal RNA". It matches the Rfam family "Bacterial small subunit ribosomal RNA", at positions 524 to 776 of the family's 1533-position model. The record is from RNAcentral.